GCUCAACCGGGGAGGGUCAUUGGAAACUGGGGAACUUGAGUGCAGAAGAGGAGAGUGGAAUUCCACGUGUAGCGGUGAAAUGCGUAGAGAUGUGGAGGAACACCGGUGGCGAAGGCGACUCUCUGGUCUGUAACUGACGCUGAGGCGCGAAAGCGUGGGGAGCGAACAGGAUUAGAUACCCUGGUAGUCCACGCCGUAAACGAUGAGUGCUAAGUGUUAGAGGGUUUCCGCCCUUUAGUGCCGCAGCAAACGCAUUAAGCACUCCGCCUGGGGAGUACGGUCGCAAGACUGAAACUCAAAGGAAUUGACGGGGGCCCGCACAAGCGGUGGAGCAUGUGGUUUAAUUCGAAGCAACGCGAAGAACCUUACCAGGUCUUGACAUCCUCUCGCCCUCCCUAGAGAUAGGGAUUUCCCUUCGGGGACGAAAGUGACAGGUGGUGCAUGGUUGUCGUCAGCUCGUGUCGUGAGAUGUUGGGUUAAGUCCCGCAACGAGCGCAACCCUUGAUCUUAGUUGCCAGCAUUCAGUUGGGCACUCUAAGGUGACUGCCGGUGACAAACCGGAGGAAGGUGGGGAUGACGUCAAAUCAUCAUGCCCCUUAUGACCUGGGCUACACACGUGCUACAAUGGGCAGAACAAAG
RNAcentral lists this ribosomal RNA (639 nucleotides) under uncultured bacterium. RNAcentral describes it as "bacterial SSU rRNA". It matches the Rfam family "Bacterial small subunit ribosomal RNA", at positions 607 to 1244 of the family's 1533-position model. The record is from RNAcentral.